Molecule: non-coding RNA, 845 nt
Organism: Microcebus murinus (gray mouse lemur)
Lineage: Eukaryota; Metazoa; Chordata; Mammalia; Primates; Cheirogaleidae
Source: RefSeq, a predicted model, not a curated record
GGUCAGGAUGGGGGCCAGACGAGGGGCUAGGGAGGCCAGCGGCGUCGUCAGCACCAGGAGGCCCGACCGGAAUACGGCCAUGGUUCCCAGGCCUGUGGACAGUCAGGGAGACAAAGCGAGGGUAAUUGAGGGGCCUGAGGCUAAGGCAGAGGCUUACAUGGGGCUUUAGACCCGGGAGAAGGGGACCUGGAGCAGGGACAGGAUCUCAGUGACGAUCGAGAGGAACGAGGGUAGGGGACAGGGCCUGGCUGACGGCGCUCAGGGCUGUGCUCUAAGCCUUGGUCUCCUCAUUUCUCAUAUAGUGUGGUGACUUCACUAAACUGAAUCGAAAUCCUGGAAGGGGAAGCGGGGACUGGACGGGAGCCCCUGAGUCAUGGGCCUGGGGAUGCAGAAAUCCUGGGCCCUCUUGCUAAGCUGCACCAGGGUCUUCAAGCAACUGAAGAAGGAGACUAAAGGGGAACGCUCAAACUCAGGAACACAUAGAGGCCAGGUCUUGUGGCUGCUAUACGAGGCUCUCCGCACCACCCGGAUCCAAUGAUGCACCUGUUCGCAGGGGAAGAGAGGUGAACUCUCCGUGUGAGCUCAGUGGAGCUGCCAGGGUCUUUGUGGACAGGAGAAAAGGGUGGGAGAUCCAGGGUAGAGGAUACAGCACGAAGCUAAUGAGUACUGAAAAGUCUGGAGUUGGUAGGUUUGGUGUGGAGGAGAAACCAGGUUGCCACCAGAAAACAUUUCAGAUAAAUUGUCCACGGAGAUUUCAAAAGGAAGGGAAACCAACCUCCCAGAUUCCAGUAGUGUGCUGUGGUUUAUUUUCCCAAACUGAAUAAAUAUUGACUUUUUAAGAUAAA